Amphiprion ocellaris (clown anemonefish) is the source of this 2368-nucleotide long non-coding RNA. The record is from Ensembl. NCBI's taxonomy places the organism in Eukaryota, Metazoa, Chordata, Actinopteri, Pomacentridae.
CUUCACCUCUGGACUGUGGAGGAGGGAGUGGCAUUGAACAGAAAGGAGGGUGUGUGACGGCCAGAGAAGGAGCUUUCUGCUUUCACGCGUUGCCAAGCAGUGAAAGAGUGUCUGUCACAGAGGACAAGCAAAGAGACAGAGCGGAAAAGUUGGACAAGAAAGAAAGAGACAAAGGGAGAAAGCUGGUUAGAGAGAAGAGAGCUGAAAAGAGCUCCUAUCUACCGUCCCACCCCCUGAUCUUCCUCCUCUCAGCUCAGACGGGAAGAAGAAAAAAAGGAAAAAGGAGUGCAGAGAGAGAGAGAGGUAGAGCUCAGCCUCGCUCGCUCUUUAGCGCAGGACUCAGGAAUUUCCAGGACCUUUGGAGUUGUGAGCGCUCACAUGCACACGCUGCUUUUCUCGUGGUGAUACGAACCUGAGCAGAGAGGCAGUGAAAAGGAAAGAAAAGAAGGCGAGGGAAUGAGUGAAUAACCAGCUCCUCCAGUGGACUAUCUGGCCAACGAUGGCACCUGCCGAGGAGAAAGUGAGUCAGAGGAGCUGCUGAUGAAGGUGGAUAUCCCUGGAAAGCCUCCAAAGAAAGGCACCCAGGAUGAACCACCUCAGUUCCUUCUGAUGUGAAAGACUCCACUUAGCUCCUCAGACCAUCUCUAAGAAGACCGUCAACCCAUUAGAGGCAACUCAUGACCAUAGGUUUCCCAGAGACUAUGGGUUGAGGAGGAAUUGGAAGUUUGUCAGCUUAGACCUGGUGUCAUUCCAUCAGUGUUAAACUUCCCGGCUCAUCUUGGAAGAGUAUGUGCCAGAAAGACCACGACCAAGCAGCCCUGAGAUCUUAGACAGCGUCUCCCUGAGGUGGGUGUCGACGGUGUUCACAGUCAGGUCUGUAGAGGGGGGAGGCCGCCACCCACCUCCCCGCCUACUCUCCGCCCUGACUCCACCCAGACUCCGCCUUGGCUGCACCCAUGUGGUCACUUUAUUAACUAUGAUGCCAAAGGGAUGAUGAAAUUACUUUUUUUUAUCUGAUCUAUAGCUCAGUGAGUUAAGGAUUUGCCUGUAGAGCUGCAGGUCGCUGGUUCAAGACCAGACCCUUCUUAAAUUUUAUGAAAAUCCUGACAAAGACAAACAAAGAAAAAUGCCAGUGGUGGGUCUUGAACCUGCAACCUUCCACUUGGUAGUCCCUCUUCUUAUCCCCUGAGCUACUCGCUCAGAUACUAAAUCUUCUUUUUUUUUUUACACAUUUAUCAUCUAUUUUUUUCUCCGUUUUUGAGUUUUUUUUAACUUGAGUCUCGACUCGACCCUUUUUCUCAGGAGGUUGGACUUCAGCCUUUGUGCUGGAGGGUUGAACCCUCAGUUCCAAGACUUUCAAAGCCUCCACACCUCCCGAGUCCUCAGGACCUGAGCUUUCACACAGUCUGAGGGCUGAAAUUUCCUAAGUCCCACAGUAGUUCUCUGUUAGAUUGAACUUCCAGACAGUCCAAGGACUGAUAUCUUCUAAGUUCCUGAGUACUUCUCUGUUAGUUUGAACCUUCAGACAGUCUGAGGACUGAAAUCUUAAAAGUUCUUGAGUAGUUCUCUGUUAGUUUGAACCUUCAGACAGUCUGAGGACUGAAAUUUUAUAAGUUUCUCAGUACUUCUCUGUUAGUUUGAACUUUCUGGUUAGCAGAAGCCUUAAAACUUGUGACCAUGAGUCUUGAUUUCACGUUUAGAUCAUCCACCUGAGUUCUUCUCAGACCUUCACCUGUGGGUUCUUUAGAAAUCCUCAACAAACUUUGAUUCUCUUCACUGAACAGUAAAGUUUGUGGAGAUCAGAAGGUAACAUUAGUUUGAUCAAUGCCUUCAACUACUAGUAGACUUUAUCUGGAAAGCAGUUUUCUGAAAUGAGUUCUUAGUAAAUCUAUCCACAAUCAAACCAAGAACAUAGAAAGAGGAAAUGUUUGAAGAAACAACUUGAUGUUUUCGUUUCAGACUAGAAAACGCUUUAAGAUCUUUAUCUGUUUUUGCUCUUUUUGAUCGUUUUAUUGUCUCUUCUGUUUAAUUUGAUCUUCUAAAGUCUAACUGGUGUCUUUUGAAAUGCUUCGUCUUUAGUUUGAUUCUUCUUAAACGUUUAGUUUUGCUCUUUUCUCACCUUUUAUUCUUUUCUAAUGUCUGAUUUCGAUUUCCGAAUGUUUUGUCUUUUUAAUGUUUAAUUGUUUUUUCAAAUGUUUUAUCGGCUUGUUUGAGUUUCUUUUUCUUUCCCAAUAUUUAAUGUUUCGAUUAAAUCUUUAAGGUUUUUCUUUUUAAAUGUUUUACCACCUUUUAAUGAUUAAUUUUCUUUUUAAAUGCUUCAUUGUAUUUUCUGUGUAAUUCCUAUUUGAAGUUUUAUUGUCUUUAAGAU